Molecule: ribosomal RNA, 465 nt
Filed under: uncultured bacterium
Lineage: Bacteria
Description: partial 16S ribosomal RNA
Rfam family: Bacterial small subunit ribosomal RNA
Source: RNAcentral
GACGAACGCUGGCGGCGUGCUUAACACAUGCAAGUCGUACGGUAAGGCCCUUUCGGGGGUACACGAGUGGCGAACGGGUGAGUAACACGUGAGUAACCUGCCCACAACUUUGGGAUAACGCUAGGAAACUGGUGCUAAUACUGGAUAUGUGCUCCUGCUGCAUGGUGGGGGUUGGAAAGCUCCGGCGGUUGUGGAUGGACUCGCGGCCUAUCAGCUUGUUGGUGGGGUAGUGGCCUACCAAGGCGGCGACGGGUAGCCGGCCUGAGAGGGUGACCGGCCACAUUGGGACUGAGAUACGGCCCAGACUCCUACGGGAGGCAGCAGUGGGGAAUAUUGCACAAUGGGCGCAGGCCUGAUGCAGCAACGCCGCGUGCGGGAUAACGGCCUUCGGGUUGUAAACCGCUUUCAGCAGGGACGAAGCUUUUUGUGACGGUACCUGCAGAAGAAGCACCGGCUAACUACGUG